CCUACGGGUGGCAGCAGUGAGGAAUAUUGGUCAAUGGUCGGGAGACUGCACCAGCCAAGCCGCGUGAGGGAUGAAGGUACAGAGUAUCGUAAACCUCUUUUGUCAGGGAACAAGGGCGGGGACGUGUCCCAGGAUGAGUGUAUCUGAAGCAAAAGCAUCGGCUAACUCCGUGCCAGCAGCCGCGGUAAUAGGGAGGAUGCGAGGGUUAUCCGGAUUUAUGGGGUUUAAAGGGUGCGCUGGCGGUCUGUUACGUCAGAGGUCAAAGCCCGGGGCGAAACCCCGGCCCGCAGUUGAAACUGGCAGUCUCGAGUUGGAGAGAGGUAUGCGGAAUGCGCGGUGUAGCGGUGAAAUGCAUAGAUAUCGCGCAGAACUCCGAUUGCGAAGGCAGCAUGCCGGCUCCACACUGACGCUGAGGCACGAAAGCGUGGGUAUCGAACAGGAUUAGAUACCCUGGUAGUC
This 459-nucleotide ribosomal RNA is filed under the name uncultured bacterium. RNAcentral describes it as "partial 16S ribosomal RNA". It matches the Rfam family "Bacterial small subunit ribosomal RNA", at positions 338 to 795 of the family's 1533-position model. The record is from RNAcentral.